CGGCGAGUGAUAAAAUCCGUCGUCAAGAGGGAAACAACCCAGACUACCAGCUAAGGUCCCUAAAUCUUACUUAAGUGGAAAACGAUGUGAAGUUACUUAAACAACCAGGAGGUUGGCUUAGAAGCAGCCAUCCUUUAAAGAAAGCGUAAUAGCUCACUGGUCUAGUGAUUUUGCGCGGAAAAUAUAACGGGGCUAAAGUAAGUACCGAAGCUGUAGACUUGCGCACAACUUAGAUUAUUUAAGUUUAGAAUAUGAGAAACUAAGUUAUAUGUUUAGUUAUAUUUUUACUGAUUUUUAUAGAGUAAAGAUAGAAAUAAAACUUAGUAAAAUCAGUAAAAAUAUUCUUAGACUAAAGUUAAGUAGUUUAAGUUGUGUGCAAGUGGUAGGAGAGCGUUCUAUUUGCGUCGAAGGUAUACCGGUAAGGAGUGCUGGAGCGAAUAGAAGUGAGCAUGCAGGCAUGAGUAGCGAUAAUUAAUGUGAGAAUCAUUAACGCCGUAAACCCAAGGUUUCCUACGCGAUGCUCGUCAUCGUAGGGUUAGUCGGGUCCUAAGUCGAGUCCGAAAGGGGUAGACGAUGGCAAAUUGGUUAAUAUUCCAAUACCAACAUUAGUGUGCGAUGGAAGGACGCUUAGGGCUAAGGGGGCUAGCGGAUGGAAGUGCUAGUCUAAGGUCGUAGGAGGUUAUACAGGCAAAUCCGUAUAACAAUACUCCGAGAACUGAAAGGCUUUUUGAAGUCUUCGGAUGGAUAGAAGAACCCCUGAUGCCGUCGAGCCAAGAAAAGUUUCUAAGUUUAGCUAAUGUUGCCCGUACCGUAAACCGACACAGGUGGGUGGGAUGAGUAUUCUAAGGCGCGUGGAAGAACUCUCUUUAAGGAACUCUGCAAAAUAGCACCGUAUCUUCGGUAUAAGGUGUGGUUCGCUUCGUAUUAGGAUUUACUCCGAAAGCGAAGAAACUUACAACAAAGAGUCCCUCCCGACUGUUUACCAAAAACACAGCACUCUGCUAACUCGUAAGAGGAUGUAUAGGGUGUGACGCCUGCCCGGUGCUCGAAGGUUAAUUGAUGGGGUUAGCAUUAGCGAAGCUCUUGAUCGAAGCCCGAGUAAACGGCGGCCGUAACUAUAACGGUCCUAAGGUAGCGAAAUUCCUUGUCGGUUAAAUACCGACCUGCAUGAAUGGCGUAACGAGAUGGGAGCUGUCUCAAAGAGGGAUCCAGUGAAAUUGUAGUGGAGGUGAAAAUUCCUCCUACCCGCGGCAAGACGGAGAGACCCCGUGGACCUUUACUACAGCUUGACACUGCUAUUUGGAUAAGAAUGUGCAGGAUAGGUGGGAGGCUUUGAGUAUAUGACGCCAGUUGUAUAUGAGCCAUUGUUGAGAUACCACUCUUUCUUAUUUGGGUAGCUAACCAGCUUGAGUUAUCCUCAAGUGGGACAAUGUCUGGUGGGUAGUUUGACUGGGGCGGUCGCCUCCCAAAUAAUAACGGAGGCUUACAAAGGUUGGCUCAGAACGGUUGGAAAUCGUUCGUAGAGUAUAAAGGUAUAAGCCAGCUUAACUGCAAGACAUACAAGUCAAGCAGAGACGAAAGUCGGUCUUAGUGAUCCGGUGGUUCUGUGUGGAAGGGCCAUCGCUCAAAGGAUAAAAGGUACCCCGGGGAUAACAGGCUGAUCUCCCCCAAGAGCUCACAUCGACGGGGAGGUUUGGCACCUCGAUGUCGGCUCAUCGCAUCCUGGGGCUGGAGCAGGUCCCAAGGGUAUGGCUGUUCGCCAUUUAAAGCGGUACGCGAGCUGGGUUCAGAACGUCGUGAGACAGUUCGGUCCCUAUCUGCCGUGGGCGUAAGAAGAUUGAAGAGAUUUGACCCUAGUACGAGAGGACCGGGUUGAACAAACCACUGGUGUAGCUGUUGUUCUGCCAAGAGCAUCGCAGCGUAGCUAAGUUUGGAAAGGAUAAACGCUGAAAGCAUCUAAGCGUGAAGCCAACUCUAAGAUGAAUCUUCUCUAAGCUCUCUAGAAGACUACUAGUUUGAUAGGCUGGGUGUGUAAUGGAUGAAAGUCCUUUAGCUGACCAGUACUAAUAGAGCGUUUGGCUUAUCUUUAAUAAAGCAU
RNAcentral lists this ribosomal RNA (2098 nucleotides) under Campylobacter coli. Its description in RNAcentral is "bacterial LSU rRNA". It matches the Rfam family "Bacterial large subunit ribosomal RNA", at positions 989 to 2925 of the family's 2925-position model. The record is from RNAcentral. Lineage: Bacteria; Pseudomonadati; Campylobacterota; Epsilonproteobacteria; Campylobacterales; Campylobacteraceae.